RNAcentral lists this long non-coding RNA (212 nucleotides) under Elaeis guineensis (African oil palm). RNAcentral's name for it is "long non-coding RNA (EGUI_LNC062802)". The record is from RNAcentral. Lineage: Eukaryota; Viridiplantae; Streptophyta; Magnoliopsida; Arecales; Arecaceae.
GAUGAGUCGAUCCAGUUUCAAAAUUAAAAUUUUUUUGCAUAAAUAAGUUAUAAAAUAUUUAUAAAAUUGAAAUUAUUUCAAAUCUAAAUCUAAAUCCAUGUUGAUCAUAAACUUAAUUAAGAAUUAAGUUGAACUAAUUAGAUCUAGAAUUGUGAAUUAAAGAUCUAAUGACAUUCGCAUAAAACAUGAGAUAAUGGGUUUAUGGGCUAGCU